Molecule: small nuclear RNA, 97 nt
Filed under: Cervus hanglu yarkandensis (Yarkand deer)
Lineage: Eukaryota; Metazoa; Chordata; Mammalia; Artiodactyla; Cervidae
Description: U2 spliceosomal RNA (ENSCHYG00000023414.1)
Rfam family: U2 spliceosomal RNA
About the family: U2 is a small nuclear RNA (snRNA) component of the spliceosome (involved in pre-mRNA splicing). Complementary binding between U2 snRNA (in an area lying towards the 5' end but 3' to hairpin I) and the branchpoint sequence (BPS) of the intron results the bulging out of an unpaired adenosine, on the BPS, which initiates a nucleophilic attack at the intronic 5' splice site, thus starting the first of two transesterification reactions that mediate splicing.
Source: Rfam by way of RNAcentral
AUUGCUUCUCAGCCUUUUGGCUAAGAUCAAGUGCAGUAUCUGUUCUUAGUUUACUAUCUGAUAUCUGGUGACUCAGACAGUAAAGAAGGUACCUGCA